Molecule: ribosomal RNA, 409 nt
Filed under: uncultured archaeon
Lineage: Archaea
Description: bacterial SSU rRNA
Rfam family: Archaeal small subunit ribosomal RNA
Source: RNAcentral
GGAACCGGGAGAGGGUGAGGGGGUACUUCGGGGGUAGGAGUGAAAUCCUGUAAUCCUCGAGGGACCACCUGUGGCGAAGGCGCCUCACCAGAACGGCUUCGACAGUGAGGGACGAAAGCUGGGGAGCAAACCGGAUUAGAUACCCGGGUAGUCCCAGCCGUAAACGAUGUGCGUUAGGUGUAUCGGUGACCACGAGUCACCGAGGUGCCGAAGGGAAACCGUGAAACGUACCGCCUGGGGAAGUACGGUCGCAAGGCUGAAACUUAAAGGAAUUGGCGGGGGAGCACCACAACAGGUGGAGCCUGCGGGUUUUUAAAUUGGACUCAACGCCGGAAAUCUCACCGGAUAAGACAGCAGAAUGAUUGCCGGGCUGAAGACUCUGCAUGACUAGCUGAGGAGUGGUGCAUGG